RNAcentral lists this ribosomal RNA (19 nucleotides) under Cornuvesica magnispora. RNAcentral describes it as "partial 26S ribosomal RNA". The record is from RNAcentral. Lineage: Eukaryota; Fungi; Ascomycota; Sordariomycetes; Ophiostomatales; Ophiostomataceae.
AAAAAUAGGCCUCAUCGUC